UUGACAGCCCUGGAAACUGAAGUCCUCUGUUUCUUGGUGGAAGGGUUGCAAGCACAGGCAGCAGUGUGGGCUAUCCCAGCUCUGCUCAACCAGUAUACCUCAAUUUUCAUCAGAGAAACUACUCUUAGUGGUAAGACGGGGGGGGGGGGGGGGGGUUAUUUAUUCAGAUCAUUAGGUCAUGAGUUCCC
Molecule: small RNA, 188 nt
Filed under: Dromaius novaehollandiae (emu)
Lineage: Eukaryota; Metazoa; Chordata; Aves; Casuariiformes; Dromaiidae
Description: TUC338 (ENSDNVG00000004940.1)
Source: RNAcentral